Sitophilus oryzae (rice weevil) is the source of this 769-nucleotide long non-coding RNA. RefSeq lists it as uncharacterized. The transcript has 4 exons. The record is from RefSeq and is a predicted model, not a curated record. Lineage: Eukaryota; Metazoa; Arthropoda; Insecta; Coleoptera; Curculionidae.
ACCGUCAAAUGUAAAAUUUAACCUGUCAACAGUUGUCAAUUUAUAUUUUAUUUUGCCCGUUAUCCGUAGAUCGUGAUUUAAAUUUGUUUUUGAUUUUUUUACGGCUCUGUUCUUGUGCUUUUUCAUAUUUUUUAACUGUAGACAAUGGUUUUUAAGUGUUGUGUUACUGGCUGUAAGAAUUACCAAAAAGAUGCCCAAAUGCAUAUGUUUCCGAAGGAUCAAAUAGUAAUCAAAACCGUUUCUCGAUAGAUCGCUGAAGUUAAGCGAUGGUAGAUGAUGUGGGUGUAUGGACCGGUAUUACCUGGAAACUCUCUUGUACUGUUGUUAGAAGCUGGAUGAGAUUGGAUAUAUGGUGAACAAUUGAUUGAGGAGUGUCCGGAUUGGUAUCCUAGCAUCACAGAAAUAAGACGAUCACUUUUAUUUCGAAACAGGUAAUCAACACUGUUUCUCGAUAGAUCACUGAAGUUAAGCGAUGUUAAAUGAUGUGGGUGUAUGGACCGGUGUAUAUAUGGAAACUUUGUCGUGCUGUUGUUAGAAGCUGGAUGAGAUUGGAUAUCUUGUGAAUAAUUGAUUGAGGAGUGUCCAGAUUGGUAUUCUAGCAACAUAGAAACAAGAUGUUCACUUAACUUUUAUUUCGUCACAGGCGGGAAAAAAUCAAAAAGGAGGAAAAAACAGGAGAGAGGGCUGUGAAAAUAAAAACACCAAUGGGAAGGGGCGUUUAAGCCGAAAACUAAUUAAUACAAAGAGAUAAAAGGCGAACUGAUUUGGA